Molecule: ribosomal RNA, 960 nt
Filed under: Psychrobacter sp. 27F07-MB2-3
Lineage: Bacteria; Pseudomonadati; Pseudomonadota; Gammaproteobacteria; Moraxellales; Moraxellaceae
Description: bacterial SSU rRNA
Rfam family: Bacterial small subunit ribosomal RNA
Source: RNAcentral
CCGGGCUAACUCUGUGCCAGCAGCCGCGGUAAUACAGAGGGUGCAAGCGUUAAUCGGAAUUACUGGGCGUAAAGCGAGCGUAGGUGGCUUGAUAAGUCAGAUGUGAAAGCCCCGGGCUUAACCUGGGAACGGCAUCUGAUACUGUUAGGCUAGAGUAGGUGAGAGGAAGGUAGAAUUCCAGGUGUAGCGGUGAAAUGCGUAGAGAUCUGGAGGAAUACCGAUGGCGAAGGCAGCCUUCUGGCAUCAUACUGACACUGAGGUUCGAAAGCGUGGGUAGCAAACAGGAUUAGAUACCCUGGUAGUCCACGCCGUAAACGAUGUCUACUAGUCGUUGGGUCCCUUGAGGACUUAGUGACGCAGCUAACGCAAUAAGUAGACCGCCUGGGGAGUACGGCCGCAAGGUUAAAACUCAAAUGAAUUGACGGGGGCCCGCACAAGCGGUGGAGCAUGUGGUUUAAUUCGAUGCAACGCGAAGAACCUUACCUGGUCUUGACAUAUCUAGAAUCCUGCAGAGAUGCGGGAGUGCCUUCGGGAAUUAGAAUACAGGUGCUGCAUGGCUGUCGUCAGCUCGUGUCGUGAGAUGUUGGGUUAAGUCCCGCAACGAGCGCAACCCUUGUCCUUAGUUACCAGCGGUUUGGCCGGGAACUCUAAGGAUACUGCCAGUGACAAACUGGAGGAAGGCGGGGACGACGUCAAGUCAUCAUGGCCCUUACGACCAGGGCUACACACGUGCUACAAUGGUAGGUACAGAGGGCAGCUACACAGCGAUGUGAUGCGAAUCUCAAAAAGCCUAUCGUAGUCCAGAUUGGAGUCUGCAACUCGACUCCAUGAAGUAGGAAUCGCUAGUAAUCGCGGAUCAGAAUGCCGCGGUGAAUACGUUCCCGGGCCUUGUACACACCGCCCGUCACACCAUGGGAGUUGAUUGCACCAGAAGUGGUUAGCCUAACCUUUAGGAAGGCG